AAUUCUCAACCUUUCCAGCUUUUGCGAGCUUGGUCGGGCUUGGAUGUGGGGGUUGCGGGCUUUUCAGAAGUCGGCUCCCCUUAAAUGCAUUAGUGAAACCUUUGUUGAUCAUCUCUUGGUGUGAUAAUUAUCUACGCCAUUGGAGUGUCAGCCUCAACUCAUGUUGAGAGUGUUCUGCUUCUAACGGUCCCCCCUCUAGGGACAACUUCUGACC
Molecule: unclassified non-coding RNA, 214 nt
Filed under: uncultured Lyophyllum
Lineage: Eukaryota; Fungi; Basidiomycota; Agaricomycetes; Agaricales; Lyophyllaceae
Description: sequence contains ITS2
Source: RNAcentral